Molecule: transfer RNA, 57 nt
Filed under: Heterocephalus glaber (naked mole-rat)
Lineage: Eukaryota; Metazoa; Chordata; Mammalia; Rodentia; Bathyergidae
Rfam family: tRNA
About the family: Transfer RNA (tRNA) molecules are approximately 80 nucleotides in length. Their secondary structure includes four short double-helical elements and three loops (D, anti-codon, and T loops). Further hydrogen bonds mediate the characteristic L-shaped molecular structure. tRNAs have two regions of fundamental functional importance: the anti-codon, which is responsible for specific mRNA codon recognition, and the 3' end, to which the tRNAs corresponding amino acid is attached (by aminoacyl-tRNA synthetases). tRNAs cope with the degeneracy of the genetic code in two manners: having more than one tRNA (with a specific anti-codon) for a particular amino acid; and 'wobble' base-pairing, i.e. permitting non-standard base-pairing at the 3rd anti-codon position.
Source: Rfam by way of RNAcentral
UAGCUCAGUGGCAGAGCACUUGUCUAGCGUGCAAGAGGCUCUGGGUUCCAGCCCCAG